RNAcentral lists this ribosomal RNA (375 nucleotides) under Triticum aestivum (bread wheat). RNAcentral's name for it is "partial small subunit ribosomal RNA". The record is from RNAcentral. Lineage: Eukaryota; Viridiplantae; Streptophyta; Magnoliopsida; Poales; Poaceae.
AUGCUUUUAACAAUGCUUUGUCAGGCCGUUCCUGCCGAUGCUGCUGUUCAUGCCGUCCCCCCAGUGCUUAGCAUCACCGGCAACAAUUUCAGCGCUGUCCGACAAGGUGCUCUACAGGGACAACCUCCGUCGACCUGUCAUCGAACUUCAGUAUGUGUGCUUUGUUCUCUGAAACUGAAUUCAGACCUUGAGCACUACUUUUAUUUGAAAGAAAAUAUGUGCGUGAUUCCUAGCAUAGCUUGGUAUACACGAAUUGCAAUCUGGACGUUUUUCUCUGUGUCGUCGUCCUGCCUUCUGGUUCUCUGUUAUCUGUCAUCUUAUAUCUCUGAGUUGUUGGCUGCAUGCGCAGCUGCUUUAGGUGGGAGCAGUGACUAG